CAGCCGCCACGGGAAUACCGAGGGUGCAAGCGUUAAUCGGAAUUACUGGGCGUAAAGCGCGCGUAGGUGGUUCGCCAAGUUGGAUGUGAAAUCCCCGGGCUCAACCUGGGAACUGCAUCCAAAACUGGCGAGCUAGAGUAUGGUAGAGGGUGGUGGAAUUUCCUGUGUAGCGGUGAAAUGCGUUGAUAUAGGAAGGAACAUCAGUGGCGAAGGCGACCACCUGGACUGAUACUGACACUGAGGUGCGAAAGCGUGGGGAGCAAACAGGAUUAGAUACCCCGGUAGUCCCUGUCUCUUAUAC
Molecule: ribosomal RNA, 301 nt
Filed under: uncultured bacterium
Lineage: Bacteria
Description: partial 16S ribosomal RNA
Rfam family: Bacterial small subunit ribosomal RNA
Source: RNAcentral